This 253-nucleotide ribosomal RNA is filed under the name uncultured bacterium. Its description in RNAcentral is "partial 16S ribosomal RNA". It matches the Rfam family "Bacterial small subunit ribosomal RNA", at positions 524 to 776 of the family's 1533-position model. The record is from RNAcentral.
UACGGGGGGGGCAAGCGUUGUUCGGAAUUACUGGGCGUAAAGGGCUCGUAGGUGGCCAACUAAGUCGGACGUGAAAUCCCUCAGCUUAACUGGGGAACUGCGUCCGAUACUGGAUGGCUCGAGUUUGGGAGAGGGAUGCGGAAUUCCAGGUGUAGCGGUGAAAUGCGCAGAGAUCGGGAGGAACACCAAUGGCGAAAGCAGGUAACUGGACUAUUACUGACACUCAGCUGCGAAAGCUAGGGGAGCAAACAGG